Molecule: transfer RNA, 540 nt
Filed under: uncultured cyanobacterium
Lineage: Bacteria; Bacillati; Cyanobacteriota
Description: partial 16S-23S ribosomal RNA intergenic spacer
Rfam family: tRNA (bases 212-284)
Source: RNAcentral
CAGGGAGACAACAAAAUGUUUAAUAUUAUUAUUUUGUCACCUUAGGUCGAUCGGUAUCUCACGUUCUUAAUUUAUUAAGAAUUUCAUUUCCUAAGUUUUUCUAGGUCACACCCAUUAUUUUUCCUGGGCCAUUAGCUCAGGUGGUUAGAGCGCACCCCUGAUAAGGGUGAGGUCCCUGGUUCAAGUCCAGGAUGGCCCAUAUCUCUAUGUUGGGGGUAUAGCUCAGUUGGUAGAGCGCCUGCUUUGCAAGCAGGAUGUCAGCGGUUCGAGUCCGCUUACCUCCACUGAUUACCACCUCUUCCAUAAUCUGUAGAAAGGAAAUUUUUUGAGUUGUGAUCAAUUUCUGAACGAAUCUAGCUUCCUAAUGAAAUCAUUAAGAUGCUGGACUCAGUGAAUUAAUUUCAUUGUUUUCAGAGAACCUUGACAACUGCAUAGAUUAUUUUUUAAAGACAAUAAGCAUCUUUAAUGAUGCAGAUUUUUAUUUGUGCGAAUGCAUUAAUAACAAUUCUAUUAAGCUGAUGCUUCAAUUUUGAAGUUAUU